RNAcentral lists this small nuclear RNA (317 nucleotides) under Nannospalax galili (Upper Galilee mountains blind mole rat). RNAcentral's name for it is "7SK RNA (ENSNGAG00000002688.1)". It matches the Rfam family "7SK RNA". From Rfam's summary of the family: 7SK was discovered as an abundant small nuclear RNA in the mid-70s but a possible function has only recently been suggested. Two independent studies have found that 7SK RNA binds the CDK9/cyclin T complex (known as elongation factor P-TEFb). P-TEFb activates transcription by phosphorylating the C-terminal domain of RNA polymerase II. The record is from Rfam by way of RNAcentral. Lineage: Eukaryota; Metazoa; Chordata; Mammalia; Rodentia; Spalacidae.
GGAUGUGAGGGUCAUGUGGCUGUGACAUCUGUCACCCCAUUGAUCGCCAGCGUUGAUUCUGCUGAUCUGACUGUCUAGGAGAGUGUCCCCUUCCUCCCUCAAUCUCCAUGUGUGUCCCUCCCAAAGCUGUGUGCUUGGUAGAAGAGCAGGACCUUCUCCAAUAAAGGAGGGCCUGUCUUUGGUCAAGGAUAUACUAGUAGCUGCACUUCCCUGCUAGAACCUCCCCAAAAAGUGCUUAAAUACCAGAAUUAGAAUUGGAUUAAAGGUUCAGUGGAUAAAGGCAUUUAUAGCGGUGAUCUGAGUUUGAGCCUUGGGAU